RNAcentral lists this ribosomal RNA (402 nucleotides) under Funambulus pennantii (Northern palm squirrel). Its description in RNAcentral is "partial 12S ribosomal RNA". It matches the Rfam family "Bacterial small subunit ribosomal RNA", at positions 774 to 1373 of the family's 1533-position model. Lineage: Eukaryota; Metazoa; Chordata; Mammalia; Rodentia; Sciuridae. The record is from RNAcentral.
GGGAUUAGAUACCCCACUAUGCUUAGCCCUAAACAUAAAUAUUCAACUAACAAGACUAUUCGCCAGAGUACUACUAGCCAUAGCUUAAAACUCAAAGGACUUGGCGGUGCUUUAUAUCCCCCUAGAGGAGCCUGUUCUAUAAUCGAUAAACCCCGCUAUACCUUACCACCUUUCGCAUAUCAGCCUAUAUACCGCCAUCUUCAGCAAACCCUAACGAAAGUUUCACAGUAAGCAUAAUAAUAUUACAUAAAAACGUUAGGUCAAGGUGUAGCCUAUAAGGUGGAAAGCAAUGGGCUACAUUUUCUACUUCCAGAAUAGCAACUACGAUAACUUCCAUGAAACUGAAAGUCUAAGGCGGAUUUAGUAGUAAGCCAAGAAUAGAGAGCCUGGCUGAAUGGCUUA